AAACAUUAUUUUCUCAAAAUUUCUCAGCACCCCUUCUUUCUCUUUUGCCUCUCUGAAACCAGAUCGAGCGACGAGCAUAAUGCCUGAAUACUUAGUUGUUGUUUUUUUGUUUGAUUCGUGCGUAUCAACAUCGUUGAUAGAAAGGUGAUUUCUUCCUCUUUUGCAAUGUGCAUCACAACCCCAAACUAAAAUCCUAAUCCUAAUUGUUGUUUAAAUUUUAAUCGAGUUUGUUUUUUCUGUUUCUUUUAAGGGUUUAGGUUAAUUUUGGGGCAGGGUUGUAUUGAUUUCUGGAAUAAACCAGAGAAUGGAGUUAAUUGAAACCCUAAUUUAUAAACCAGGGAAAUCAUAAAACUUUGAUUUAAAUGCACUGCACGUAGUUAUAAGUCGGUUAGAUUUUGAUUUGACUGCUUAGUUUUUUAGGAUUUUAUACUUAGUACUUUUAAUUGAGGAAUUGGGCACAUAGUUUGUGUUCUUCUUUUAGAUUCCUCUUAUUACAUUGGGGUUCACUAAUAAAUUUUGAAACUAAGCUCAUUACCGGAAACAAGAUUGUCUCUUACUGCUUUUUCAUCCCGACUCUUAUUUAUAACUUUUGUGAUUUGUGUUGUUUAUAUGGAGAGAACUACUAGCAAGAAGGCAAAAGGUGUACCAAAAAUAAGAGGUACCGGAAGCAUUUGAGAGAGCUCCCAGUCUUUGAAAAAAUGGGUUGAUGACAAUAUUAAUACUAACAGAACUCGGGUUAUAUUCAGAAGGUAUUCAUUUGCCCAAUUCAAGUAAGAAAAAUUUCUAUGAACUGAUAUUUUGAAUUUCGCUUUGUGCACUUUUCGACUUUCUUGCCGUGUUUUCUGAAGUGUGGCAUCUCAAUCCAUUCUGUGCCCUUUCUGUACUGCAUUUUCUCUAAUCAUAAAUAAAAAGUCAUUGCAUAAAAUCUCUUCAUACUAUUUGGUUGAUUUUCAAGAGUGAUGGUUGUUCAACAAUUAGUCUUGAUCAUGCCAUUUCAAGUUCGUAUGGGAAAUCAUAAAAACUUUCUAAUGCUAGGGAAAAUUUAGAUAUCUGGCUAAAGAAACUAAGAUAUCUGGCUAAAGAAACUAAGCCAACCUUCAGUAUUUCUGCUACAGAAAGGAUGGUUACCCUUCUGUAUAUGGAAAGAACUAUAAGACUGAUUGAUAACAUGUUGCAUCUCUGCAUCACUGAGGACACUGGCGCAAUGUAUACUAAAGGCUUUUCCAGGAUCGCUAUCAAACAAGGUAUGAAAUUCCUUCAAUUGUCUGCAUCAUGUCCUCGAUGGUAAAGCAUGUCGUUUCUAUACAUUUGUUGUUAUGAUAGGCGGUAGUGCUACAGCUCAGUGUGUAACUGAUAUCUCUGGAAGAGAAAAAUUGCCAGCUACGCAAACACAUUAUGUGAAUUUAUAAGGAGCCUGCAGAAGUUGGCUGGUGCCCUUUUAACAAUAGUUUCUGACAAUUUCGUUUUUCGCAAGAACUACCAAAGCUACAUUGACUGAUACUUUGUCCAGCUGGGGUGUUAUCACUGAAGAACAUGUUAGAAGUAGUUGCCUGUUAUAAGAAUGUGAAUACUGAAUUGAAUUGGCUGAGCUUGGCCAUACUGACAGAGAUCAAGCUGUGUUCGCUGCUUCUCACCCAACACCCGCUGUAAUGUUCCCUUUUGUAGCAGCGACAUAAUGGCUAGAACAGGCAAGUAUGAUCCAUGUCACUCUUUCUCUGCUACCAUUAGUAUCAAAGGAUGUAUGUGCACAAAUGGAUAGUAUAUGCCUGGUGCUAUAUGCUUUUGAAGAAUGUGGUUAAUGUUGAUACAUAUGCAAUCUAGCAUAUCACAGUUUUAUGACUAUGUGGAAAGUUUGUCGGUACAAAAGUUAAUUGGAGGGAGUCGUGACCCUUAGGUUUUGGUGGCUUCUCUUUUUAACUAUGAACACUAUUGUUGCUCUUUUUAACUAGGAACACCUUUCUUGAUGCCUUUUGGUGUAGGUGGAUAGGAUUGAGUUUACUGGGAGAGAGGUUUAUUAUUAGCAAAUCAUUCUUUACUCAAUUUGAACCUUUACACUGAUUAUUUGUUAGUUGUCUACAGGGGUCAUAAAUCUAACCCCAUUCUUACAUUUUCGUGUUACAGACUCUUGCAUCUCAUUGUGGAAUCCAAUAUAGCUAUGGAAUAAUGAGUACUGAGCAUGAAAAUUCAUGAUUUUCUUGAAUUUGUUAUUUGUACGAUCUUGAACAAAGCUAAUAAUUGUUGCUCAUAUCCUUGCAUGAUUUGCAUUAUUGAUUUAGCUUCUCAUAUGAGAUUUGCUAUGAGAGAAUCCUAGCAGUAGAUCUCCAGCAUCAUAUGGUGCAAGAUCAGUUUCAUUUGUGUAAUUGAUAUAAUUUGUCUACUCUUCUGACUUUUCUUUAUGAUGCCAUGUUACAAAACCAACUACACUCCAAGCGAUAGAAAUUCUGUUAAGAACCCUCAGCAGCGCACCGAUCUUCACAGAAUUGAGGUGUUUGCUUGAGGUCUUCUGCAUGAUGAAGGUAACUCUAAUUGUUUCAUCUUUGCUAGACUUUUCAGUAUGUAGAACUUUGUGAUGUGCGACUCUUGGUCUUUUCUGCUUGGUUUUUUCAGUUGUGUAUAUCAUUUGGCCAUGUAAUAUAAAGUAUUGCACUGUUAUGAUGGCUGCAAUAUUUUACGUGAUGGAUUGUUAUCGUUAGGUGCCAUGGGGAGUAGAUUUUCAGAAAUUACUAAGAUUGUAACUCAACAGAUUUGUGAUGGAAAAGAAUCGUACAACAAGUUGUUAAAGACUAAUGUGUAAUCUGCUGCUCUUAAGGAUGAACAGUGAUACCCGUAUGAUUGUCAAAUAUGGUUGCAUGGGUUAGUCUAGCAAAAGUUAGAUAUAAUCUUCAUAUUACAUUUAUUUUUCUUUAGAAUCUAUUUUUAAGUGCCUUGAUGCGUAAUUAAGUUUAAUAAAUUUUUAUAACAUCUGCCUUGCCAAGUUCCUAAAAAAAUAUAUCUCAUAGUUAACAUCUACUUCCUUUAUGUAUAAACUGAAGAAUUUUUGAGGUUGUUUUAUACUAAGUAUUGCAAGAUGUGUAGUUUGACAACGGUACUGAAAUUGUUGGGUAUCAUUUCUAAUACUGUGUACAAUGGACUACGGAGUGAGCACAACCAUAUCAUUAGUAUAUAUAUUACAAAAUAAGCCUUAUGUUGCCUAUCCAUUAGGUAAAAUGAUCCUCCUCAGUAAUGCUGAGCAUCUUAGGAGCACUGUAUCAACUGAUACUUUAUCCAUAUGAAUGGUCCAUAAUUAUAUAUGUGUAUACGGACAGUGAAGUGAGUAGACACAGCUCACUAGUGUCUUCAUUCCAAAAUGAUCCUUAUUACAUUAGGUAUAAUGAUCCUCUUCAGUAGGUUGAGCAUCUUAGGAUCGCUGCAUUAAAUCGUACAACCCCUAGCUAACAUUAACAAAGUAGUGGUCUAUUAUCAUGUAACAAGAAUAGAAAAUGGGGUAGACAAUGGGGUAAUGAAAUUAUACUUUAUGCUUUUAUAUGUUUUUAGCCAGCACCUGAUACGGAUACCUUAGUUUAGCCAUGUGUAAGUUCUUUUGUACAUUUCAAGCAAACCUGAAUAGCUGUAAUGAUCAACAUGAGCUCUAUCACUAUAUACUUUAACAUGUUUACAUUUGAAGAGGUUGCUGGCGUAAUUUUUUGCAUAUGAAAGAGAUGUUAUGAGGAUUUCUUUACUCCCUUAAUCAUUGCUCUGCAGUUCAUUGAGUAACGCUACUCAUUGCUCUGAAGAUUGCAUUUUCAGAGCAUUUGUAGCGUUACUCAUUGCUCUGAAGAUUGCUUUUUCAACGUUACUCAAUGAACUUAGGGGAGUAAAAAAAUCUUCAGAGUGGUUUUACUCUGCUUGCCAAAAAUGAAAAUGAAAAACAUGCAAUAAUCAACAACACACUAUGGUGCUACUCUUGCGAUGAAGAAGUCGAGUCUCCAGAAACCAGUUAAAUAUAUUUCGAAAUAGACAUAUGAAGUGUUGGGCAAACAAAUAUCCCUAUGAUGGAAGCCGAAACUACCAUCGGAUUCCUGUCGGGAAAGUUCUCAGGUUAUUCGGCGGAUGAAUUCGUAAGGUUGUUGCUUGCUUUCACACCAAUUGGUAAAUCCUUGCAAGACCAGAGCAGUGAGUAUGUCAAAAAUCAAUCCAUAUUUAUUAUUGUACACUACAUUGUUGUGAUUUUGUCAAAGUACAUGAUUAUGAAUCUGAUCGCUUUGCCAUUCCUCAUGUGUUGCCACUUGCCAUCUUAGCUCAGUCGGAAGAGCGCAUGGCUUUUAACCAUGUGGUUGUGGGUUCGAUUCCCCCAGAUGGCGGAGGUCCUUAUGGUUACACAUGUUUUCGUGCAGCUAAUCUUAAUUGGUUCUUUGUGUGUUACCAAUACUUAUUACUUAUGACCCUUCUACUGAAGUGGACUUCAGCGGAAAUUAAUAUGUUUACAGAUAACUAGCUGAGGUAGUUCAUUUUUUCUGCAGAUCAGCUAUGGUAGUCUUAUUCCUUUUCAUCAGACGCCUUAUACUUUAUUUACAUGGUUAUAAAUUGUUCAUUUUAUCUAUCAAGUUACACAGGUGCUUCAUUACACGUCUAAGGUUUGAAUUGAGGUGUCUUGGAUUGUUUCUAGAUUUACUCAAACACUAAUAUUUUUUCCCUCACAGGUAGAAAUGUCAACGGUGGGUUCUCAGAGACAGUUGGACAGGGUCAUCAGAAACCUACAAGCAGCAGAAAUUCUGGAAAUCCUAUGUUUUAAAGCUAACAUCCUUUUCAUGGUAUUUUUUGCAGGGUGUUGAGUGUAUAACCGAGUGUAAGUUUCUUAAACUAUAUGAAAAUUGCAACUUAUAAUGUCUCUCGCAAGUGGGACGUGCCGCAACUUAUAGCAUCAAUGUUGAGUUAUGGAGCAGGGGUGAAUGGGUAUGCAAGUAAGGUAUUAGCAGAUUUUCCCUACAGUUAAAACUUUAUGCUUUCUAGGCUUUAUUUCAUCGAUCGCUAACCAUAAAUUUAACCUACCUGUUAGCAAUAAAGGCAUUUUAUACCAAAUUUAGUACACCACAUAUAUAAUUACCUAUUUCUUAAUUGACUAGCCGUAAAAUUGAUCCACCUAUUUUUUGAUCCAAAAAUUACACCUCAUUGGUUAUUUUUAACAGACCUGUGUUUAGUUUCAUAAGGAACUACACAGUACACACUUAAAACUGCCAAUUUCUAGCUAAAACUUAAAUUUCUAUCGGUAUUCAAGUUUUAUUUGUUGAUGAAGAGGUCAUUAUAGGUAUGUAUUUUUCCAAGUACUGCCUCGCCAGAACCAUGGUACGAAACCUAAAAUGCAAAAAGAUUAUCCGAGGAAAUCUGUUUAGAGACUAUCUAUGAGUAGCAGAUGUCCAUGUAGUUUUUCCAGCUUUGUUUUAAAAUUUAUCAGUAGUGUGUAUAUGUCACAGAAAUUUAACCUACAUAUGGUGCAUUUUCCUAGAUAAUUAAUAUUGGUGUCUGAGCAUACGAUGGCAGAUUUCUGCGAAGAAGAUAGAAAAAGGAAGAGAAUACAGCGAAGCACGUACAAGUUUGGAUAUCAGUAGAAAAAGGAAAAGAUAGAGCAAAACACGUACAAGCUUGGAUUUGGAGUGAUGACAUUCUUGGAGAAAGCUAAGAUAUUAACAGAUGAAAUGUUUUUGGAGGAACUUGGAAUAAUAGUUGACCAAGGCGAAAUAUGUGUAGAAAGGACAAGGAAUGGUUUCGUUCUCACGGAAAGAUGGUCGUGGUGGAACAGGAUAUGGGGAAGGUUUGGAUCUUACGGAAAGAUGUUAGAAGAAGUACGGCCAUGACUCCGCUGAUUUUUUCACGUAGGAAAUAUUAGUAAUGAAAUGACUGUCUUUUUCCUUGGUGUUAUUCUUUAACCAUUUUCAGUUUUUAUUUCGGAUGUACUUGAUGCUGGAUCUUUAUCUUUUCGUCGGUGUUCUUGAAACUUAUCUUUUUUGGCUUGGUUUGUUAGUCACUUCAAUUAUGUUUUGCCAAACAUAUGUAAUAUGUGAUUAAAAUUACAUGCAUGAGUUUGAUAGA
This is a long non-coding RNA of Papaver somniferum (opium poppy), 6066 nucleotides long. RefSeq lists it as uncharacterized. NCBI's taxonomy places the organism in Eukaryota, Viridiplantae, Streptophyta, Magnoliopsida, Ranunculales, Papaveraceae. The record is from RefSeq and is a predicted model, not a curated record. The transcript has 3 exons.